This is a small nuclear RNA of Chionomys nivalis (European snow vole), 107 nucleotides long. The record is from RefSeq and is a predicted model, not a curated record. NCBI's taxonomy places the organism in Eukaryota, Metazoa, Chordata, Mammalia, Rodentia, Cricetidae.
GUGCUCAUUUCAGCAGCAUAUAAACUAAAACUGGAGCAAAACAGAGAAGAGUUGCACGGCCCCUGCACAAGGAUGACACGCAAGUUUGUGAAGCAUUUCAUUAAAAA